UUGACUUAUUUGUAAGUUACUCAGAGAGACCGGUAAUAAACAAUAGUUAAGGUGUCCUCCGGCGGGCGCCCCGCAAGCGGAGCAGAGGCCCAGGGGCCAACCGCCGAAGCAACGAUACGGGGUACGUUCACAAUGGUAUGUGGGAGUUUUGCAACUCUUUAAUGAUCCCUCCGCUGGUUCACCAACGGAGA
This 191-nucleotide unclassified non-coding RNA is filed under the name uncultured fungus. RNAcentral describes it as "sequence contains ITS1". The record is from RNAcentral. Lineage: Eukaryota; Fungi.